AGUGAGGUUAUUAGAGAAUUGGGAGAGGCUCAAAUCAGCAUCCUGCACCUAGUUAUCAAACCAUUGUGAAGUCUUGGUAAGUGGCCAGUGGCUUUGGUGGGCUUGCCCAGUUAGUGGGAUGGGGUAGGGUAAGAGUGCUUAAUAGGCACUAAGCAAUUACUGGAUAUUUUCACAUUAUGAUAUGAAAAAAAAGUCUUAAAAUAUUCAGGCUGUACUACAGAAUAAAGAGUCUAACCUCUUUUUUCCCUAUUCUCCCAUUUUUAUAGAUGGGGGAAUUAGAAAUUGCCCAAGAUUAUAUGAGACCACAGUAGAUGGCACAAAUUGCCCAAGAUUAUAGCUAGUUGGCAUAGAAAAUGGAUUUGAGUCCAAGCCAGUACUGUGUCUUCUACUCAGUGCUUCAUCUAGGUUCUAUCAAAUCCAAGGAAGCCAUGUGAGACAAAAAUGUUUUUAUUUCACAGUAAAAGAUUUUUUUUUCUUUUUCUUUUUUUUAAAUUAGAGAUGGGGGUCUUAAACUAUGUUGCCCAGGCUGUUCUUGAACACCUGGGCUCAAGUGAUCCACACACCUUGGACUCAUUUCACACUAAAAGAUUCUGUAAUAGCUCCUGAGAUUUUACUCCUCUGAUGUUGGAAAUUUCCAUAGUGUGAAGUUUUGUUAUGCAUAAAAUCACCUGGGGUGCUUGUUAAACAUGCAGAUUCCUGGAUGGCCAGAAAACUUGUCAUUGGUCAAGAGCAACAUUAAGAUCUGCCUGUUACUCAUACUGAUGCUUCCUGCCCAGCAAGUUCAUCAGAGGGCGAGGAUGAAUUACGGUUGCCAUGAAUGUCCUUGUGAGGCAGUUGGGAAGCCUUGGCUGGAUUGUGAAGGAUAUUUGAAAAGUAUUUUAGAGUCCACCAGAUCAUCCAUGUGAGUGACCAUGCAGCAAAAGAAGGAGGGUCCUCUCAGUGAUUAAGGUAACAUAGUGAUUAAGGUAAGUAGGGAAAGAGAGGCUUACUUUGCCCUGAUUCUUGUCAGGGAGGCUCUUAGAGAUGCCAUUUCCAGAGCAUAAGUGACAGGCCAGCAUUUUCAAAGCUUGCAACUUAUUCUAUAAUAUAUCCUUCUUAAAACAAUUCAUGUAGAUUAUAUGCUCACCCAGUCUGGGAUCACUCCUGCAGAAGAUCAGAAGAACUGAAAUAUAGGUGACAUAAGCUCCUGCUUUUGUAAAUGUUUUGUUGAAACACAGUUGUGUUCAUCCAUUAUUGUCGAUGGCAGCUUUCAUGCUACAGCAGAGUUGAGUAGUUGGGAGAGAAACCAAAUGGACCAUAGAGUUUGAAAUAUUACUGUCUGGCCCUUCACAGAAAGUUUGCCAAUUCCUGGCAUAGGUUAAAUAAAUGUACUAUAUCCACAAAUCCUCCUCUCCCCAUUUUCCUUUCAAUGGGACUUGCAUUUACAGUUGAUCCUAGAAUGUAUGGAAUCUCAUAGUAAUCAGCUUGCUUCUGAAUUUCUUCCCACUCAAAUUAAGCUCACUCAGAAAGCACAUUCACAAAUUGGGCUACAUAUACAGAAGGAGCUAUGUUUUAUAUGCCUCACUGUAGUCAACUCAUUUAUCCUAUAUGUAUGGUUCCCCCAUUUUUUCCUUCUUUUCAGGGGUAACUUUUAAACUUGAGCCAUUCAUGAGUAUCCAAAAA
Long non-coding RNA from Homo sapiens (human), 1662 nucleotides. Ensembl annotates it as FTX transcript, XIST regulator. Its record names the gene FTX. The record is from Ensembl. NCBI's taxonomy places the organism in Eukaryota, Metazoa, Chordata, Mammalia, Primates, Hominidae.